This 151-nucleotide non-coding RNA is filed under the name pig gut metagenome. The record is from RNAcentral.
GUGGUUUACACGUAGUGUAAUUAAAAGGGAAUCCGGUGCAAAUCCGGGACAGACCCGCUGCUGUAAGUCCUUAUAUUUUUCUGCAAUAUGUCACUGGCUUGAGCUGGGAAGGCGCAGAAAAAGGGAUAAGUCAGAAUACCUGCCUCUUUUU